Molecule: ribosomal RNA, 484 nt
Filed under: uncultured bacterium
Lineage: Bacteria
Description: bacterial SSU rRNA
Rfam family: Bacterial small subunit ribosomal RNA
Source: RNAcentral
AUUGAACGCUGGCGGCAUGCCUUACACAUGCAAGUCGAACGGCAGCACGGGAGCAAUCCUGGUGGCGAGUGGCGAACGGGUGAGUAAUAUAUCGGAACGUGCCCAGUCGUGGGGGAUAACGUAGCGAAAGCUACGCUAAUACCGCAUACGAUCUACGGAUGAAAGCGGGGGAUCGCAAGACCUCGCGCGAUUGGAGCGGCCGAUAUCAGAUUAGCUAGUUGGUGGGGUAAAAGCUCACCAAGGCGACGAUCUGUAGCUGGUCUGAGAGGACGACCAGCCACACUGGAACUGAGACACGGUCCAGACUCCUACGGGAGGCAGCAGUGAGGAAUCUUGCGCAAUGGGGGAAACCCUGACGCAGCAACGCCGCGUGAGUGAGGAAGGCCUUCGGGUCGUAAAGCUCUGUCAGAUGGGAAGAAAUAGGAUGGGGCGUAAUAUCGCCCAUCCUUGACGGUACCAUCAGAGGAAGCACCGGCUAACUCCG